AAACAUGUAUGUUUUGUUUAGCAUACCUUUGAUCGUUAAUGAGGUUGAACGUAUUUUCACCUAUUUAUGUAUCGUUUAAGUUUUCCCUUUCAGAUACUUCUUGUUCAGAUUCUCGGAAUUCAUUUAUAAAUUAGUCUCUUGAAGAAUUCCAGCCCAUUUCACAGUAAAGCUGAUGUUAAGACCGAAAUUUUAUUUUUCAUGCAGAGUUCACUCUUGGAGAGUUGCAGUAAAGGCAGUCACACUUGGAGUACCUCAGUGACGGCAGAAAGGUUUAUGUUUUCCUCUUGGUGACAACAUAAAUCUCUGUGAGAUUGCUGUAAAGGGCUUGCACUGGGGUGAACUGCUCCCACUGUCCUGCCAUUGGUACACCACUGGAAACAUCACUGAAGAAGCACUGUGGUGGAGGUGGAGGAUGACACGAAGGCAGUGAGACAGAAGCCAGGAUUACACUUAUUUCCUGCAUAUAAACCCCCAAUUAUAGUCAGUCAUGGAGAAGGAUUUGAGACUGAUCUCCCAUCUCUUCAGCUGCAGCACCUGAUUAAAGCCUUCUUCCCUAAAAAUACUUGUUGGCUCAGUGAUUGGCUUUCUGUGUGAUGAACAGCAGGACCUAGACAGGACCCUUCGUGUUUUGAUCUCAGCACCCGUAUAUAAGAACAGCGUCAAUUUUGCUUGGCUUUGGAGGAGAAUUUGGAUGAAAAUGCAGAAGGACAUGUCUCUUCCCAAUUAUAAGAUAGCAAAGCCUUCAUACUCACUUGACUCUGGGAAGGAUUGUGUCACAGAGUAAAAGAAGAAAUUGCUUAUAGACUACAAAGGCUAACAUGGAGAUAGAAGAACCACAUGGAGCUUGGAAAAUGGGAAUCUCAGUAAUAACAUAAUGGCUGUGAGUCUGCAGGGGUGUCCUCCAGUGCUUUUGUUCUUGUUAAAUCCCCAAGGACCUUUGAAGGAUAGUGGGGAGGGGAAUCCUCCAAAUACCUAAGAUUAAAUUUCCUACUGGCUUGGUAGGAUGGAACUUGUAAAUGAAAUUAAAUUUAUUUAUAUUAUUAUUGUUGUUAUAAUUAUUAUUAUAAUUUAUUUUUGACAUUAGGCACCAAACAAGACCAAUCAUAAUUUUUGGCUCAUAACAUACUUGCCAUCAUUGCUUACUCCUGGCCUUCAUUUAUUUUAUUUCUUUAAUUUUAUAUAUUCAUUGACAAUAUGAUGAAGUUAUAUGAAUUCACUGCCUGAAUCAAGAACUAGAAAGUUAUUAAUAACAAAUAUACACAUAUAUGUUCCUCCCUACUCCAUUUUUAAAAACCUGCCUUUGGAGUAGCUAUUAUUUGAAUUUUAUUUUUAUCCUUAUUAUGCCUUAAAGAAACAUUAUUGUGUUUGUGUGUAUGUGUGUGUAGUCCUAAAAAUAUUUUGCUUAGUUCAAAAUGUAUGGAUCUUCUUGGAUUUGCUCUUCCACUCUUCAUUUUCAUAAUAGGAUUCAUUCAUGUGUUACAUGUUGCUUGGUUCAUUAAUUUCCAUUGAUAUUUAAUGUGUCUGUGAUUAUGCCACAGUUUAUUGAAACUCUUGUUAAUGGGUAUUUGGACAGCUUCCAGACUUGUGCUAUCAUGCACACUGCUGCUUUCUGGUACACAUUUGCUAAACUUCUCUUGGGUAAAUACCUAGAAGUGGAAUUGCUGGCUCACUGGGUGUGCAAAUAUUCAACUGUAUAAGAUAAUACCAAAUUGUUUUCCCAAGUGAUUAUUCUAAUUUACAUCCUGUCAACAAUGUGUGAGAGUUCAUCAAUCUACAGUCUCUGGAAUACUUGGUAUUGUCAGCUUUUCAGUUCUUGCCUAUUGAAUGCAUGUAAAAUAAUAUUUCCUACUCUUGUUUCACAUUUCCCUGAGUACGAGUUAGAUUGAGCAACACUUCAUAUGCUUUUUAUUAAUACAUAUUUUAUCUUCUGUGAAAUGCCUAUUCAGGUCUUCUGCCCAGUGUUCAUUUAUUAUUGGCUUGUAGGACUUCUUUACGUAUAAACAGUAUCACAAUUUUAAUCUUUUCUAUUAAGUGUUUUUGCGGUAGUUUAAGAAAUUAUUCUUCACCUUAAAUUCAGAAAGAUAUUCAUCUAUAUUUUAUCUUAUAAUAUUAAACUUUUAAAUUCAACAGCACAUCACCAUCUCUACACAUCAUGUAGGAGUUUCUAACUAGUUCCAUAAAUGAAGAAAUGAAUUAAAAGUUAUAAGGCUAGGAAAGGAAAAAAAACCUGUAAUUUUCAGACGACAUGAUUGUCUGCUUGAAAUCCUCCCCAAUUGAGCAAACAAAUAAAUAUAAUAGGAAGUUGAGCAAAGUGGAUGAACAUAAGAUUAAUACAGAAAAGUUGAUUACACUUGUAUAAAUCAGAAACAAACAGAAUAAUAACUAUGAACACACAAUUUACAACUAAAAGUAUAAAGUACAAUACUUAGGAAUAAAGCUAAUAAAAGAUGUAUAAACUUGGAUGUAGAAAACUAUAAAACAUUUCUGAAGAAUAUUUUUAAAAUACUAAUAAAUGGAGAUGUAUCCCUUGAUCAACAGGAAGAUAUCAUUAAGACCUUAAUCUUUCUUAUACAGAUCUACAGAUUUAAUGUAACUCUAGUCAAAAUCCAAAAAGGAUUCUUUAACUAAAAAAGGUCCAAAAUAGCCAAAAUACUUCUUUAUUAAAUGAAAACAUGUAGAUGGAGUUGCUCUUAUAAAUACAAAGACAUAUAGAGCUAUACUAACUGGCAUGUGUUAUUCACACAGAAAAGAGAAAUUCAUGCAUGAAAUAGGAUACAGAACUCAAUAAAGGACUCAUAUAUAUAACUUUGAUGGGGUGGCAUGAAAGAACACUUAGGAAAGGAGUAAUUAUUCAAUAGUUACAGCUGAAAAAGUUGGUUGUCUACAUAGAAAAAGCAUGAAAAUUGAUCUUUACCUCAUACACAAAACAACCUUCCACAAAUU
RNAcentral lists this long non-coding RNA (2943 nucleotides) under Homo sapiens (human). RNAcentral describes it as "HSALNT0109202". The record is from RNAcentral. Lineage: Eukaryota; Metazoa; Chordata; Mammalia; Primates; Hominidae.